Molecule: ribosomal RNA, 109 nt
Filed under: Maylandia zebra (zebra mbuna)
Lineage: Eukaryota; Metazoa; Chordata; Actinopteri; Cichliformes; Cichlidae
Source: RNAcentral
ACUUACGGCCAUACCACCCUGAACGCACCCGAUCUCGGAAGCUAAGCAGGGUCGGGCCUGGUCAGUACUUGGAUGGGAGACGGCCUGGGAAUACCAGGUGCUGUAAGCU